This 261-nucleotide ribosomal RNA is filed under the name uncultured bacterium. RNAcentral describes it as "partial 16S ribosomal RNA". It matches the Rfam family "Bacterial small subunit ribosomal RNA", at positions 333 to 586 of the family's 1533-position model. The record is from RNAcentral.
GACCCCCUACGGGGGGCAGCAGUAGGGAAUCUUCCACAAUGGACGAAAGUCUGAUGGAGCAACGCCGCGUGAGUGAAGAAGGGUUUCGGCUCGUAAAGCUCUGUUGGUGGGGAAGAAAGAUAGAGGUAGUAACUGGCCUUUAUUUGACGGUAAUUACUUAGAAAGUCACGGCUAACUACGUGCCAGCAGCCGCGGUAAUACGUAGGUGGCAAGCGUUGUCCGGGUUUAUUGGGCGUAAAGCGAGUGCAGGCGGGUCAAUAA